Molecule: small nucleolar RNA, 91 nt
Organism: Amaranthus tricolor (Joseph's coat)
Lineage: Eukaryota; Viridiplantae; Streptophyta; Magnoliopsida; Caryophyllales; Amaranthaceae
Product: small nucleolar RNA SNORD24
Exons: 1
Source: RefSeq, a predicted model, not a curated record
GGCCAGUGAUGCAAGAAAGAUAUUUGCUACUCUUGAUUGGAUACAUUUAUCAUCCAUAUGAUGAUCAUUUUCCACCAAGAUCUCUGAGGCC